UACAGAGGUCCCAAGCGUUGUUCGGAUUCACUGGGCGUAAAGGGUGCGUAGGCGGCGCGGUAAGUCGGAUGUGAAAUCUCCAGGCUCAACCUGGAGGGGUCAUUCGAUACUGCCGUGACUAGAGUUCGGUAGGGGAGUGUGGAAUUCCUGGUGGAGCGGUGAAAUGCGCAGAUAUCAGGAGGAACACCCGUAGCGAAGGCGGCACUCUGGGCCGAUACUGACACUGAGGAGCGAAAGCGUGGGGAGCGAACAGG
Molecule: ribosomal RNA, 254 nt
Filed under: uncultured bacterium
Lineage: Bacteria
Description: partial 16S ribosomal RNA
Rfam family: Bacterial small subunit ribosomal RNA
Source: RNAcentral